CUCCGGUCAUAUUGGCGGUGGCGGAUCAACCCCGUGCGCCAAACUGUCCGCUCUAACAGACCGAAACGGUUCCCUGUGAGUAGGCCCCUUCAUUGGGGUCGAAAGCGCCUACGCAUCAACCAUAUGCAUACGGGACGUCGGUCAAAGUUACUGUGAACAAACCAGCGUGUCCAAAGCAGGCCUUCGCCUGAAUGUUCGAGCAUGGAAUAACAAGGGAUCGAUUCUCUCGGUUCUUUUUGUUGGUUUUUAACCCGAGAAGGAGUAAUUCAGGCCACGGUGUCUGAGUUGGGUUUCCCGAGGCUUCGGCUGAGGCCCCAAUUAGGCCGUGUCCUUACGGGAUCAAUAGGGACUGACGGGGUCGUACGUACUUCCGCGUCAGAGGUGAAAUUCUUAGAUCGCGGGAAGACGAACUUCUGCGAAAGCAUUCGACAAGAAUGUCUUCAUUAAUCAAGAACGAGGGUGUGGGGAUCGAAGAUGAUCAGAUACCGUCGUAGUCCACUACUGUAAACAAUGCUGUCUCAGGAUUGAGAAGUGAACUGAAUGACUUUCACAGCACUAACCCCUGAAACGAGAAAUCAAAGAUUAUGGGUUCAGGGGGGAGUACAUUCGCAAGGCUGAAACUUAAAGGAAUUGACGG
RNAcentral lists this ribosomal RNA (637 nucleotides) under uncultured marine eukaryote. Its description in RNAcentral is "bacterial SSU rRNA". It matches the Rfam family "Eukaryotic small subunit ribosomal RNA", at positions 711 to 1159 of the family's 1831-position model. The record is from RNAcentral.